Molecule: ribosomal RNA, 480 nt
Filed under: Streptomyces sp.
Lineage: Bacteria; Bacillati; Actinomycetota; Actinomycetes; Kitasatosporales; Streptomycetaceae
Description: bacterial SSU rRNA
Rfam family: Bacterial small subunit ribosomal RNA
Source: RNAcentral
GGGAUUAGUGGCGAACGGGUGAGUAACACGUGGGCAAUCUGCCCUGCACUCUGGGACAAGCCCUGGAAACGGGGUCUAAUACCGGAUACGAGUCUCCAAGGCAUCUUGGAGACUGUAAAGCUCCGGCGGUGCAGGAUGAGCCCGCGGCCUAUCAGCUUGUUGGUGAGGUAGUGGCUCACCAAGGCGACGACGGGUAGCCGGCCUGAGAGGGCGACCGGCCACACUGGGACUGAGACACGGCCCAGACUCCUACGGGAGGCAGCAGUGGGGAAUAUUGCACAAUGGGCGAAAGCCUGAUGCAGCGACGCCGCGUGAGGGAUGACGGCCUUCGGGUUGUAAACCUCUUUCAGCAGGGAAGAAGCGAGAGUGACGGUACCUGCAGAAGAAGCGCCGGCUAACUACGUGCCAGCAGCCGCGGUAAUACGUAGGGCGCAAGCGUUGUCCGGAAUUAUUGGGCGUAAAGAGCUCGUAGGCGGCUUG